This 511-nucleotide ribosomal RNA is filed under the name uncultured bacterium. Its description in RNAcentral is "partial 16S ribosomal RNA". It matches the Rfam family "Bacterial small subunit ribosomal RNA", at positions 28 to 507 of the family's 1533-position model. The record is from RNAcentral.
GAUGAACGCUGGCGGCGUGCCUAAUACAUGCAAGUCGAACGAAACUUCUUUAUCACCGAGUGCUUGCACUCACCGAUAAAGAGUUGAGUGGCGAACGGUGAGUAACACGUGGGCAACCUGCCCAAAAGAGGGGGAUAACACUUGGAAACAGGUGCUAAUACCGCAUAACCAUAGUUACCGCAUGGUAACUAUGUAAAAGGUGGCUAUACUACCGCUUUUGGAUGGGCCCGCGGCGCAUUAGCUAGUUGGUAGGGUAAAGGCUUACCAAGGCAAUGAUGCGUAGCCGAAUUGAGAGGUUGAUCGGCCACAUUGGGACUGAGACACGGCCCAAACUCCUACGGGAGGCAGCAGUAGGGAAUCUUCCACAAUGGGCGAAAGCCUGAUGGAGCAACGCCGCGUGGGUGAAGAAGGUCUUCGGAUCGUAAAACCCUGUUGUUAGAGAAGAAAGUGCGUGAGAGUAACUGUUCACGUUUCGACGGUAUCUAACCAGAAAGCCACGGCUAACUACGUG